AUCCGGAUUUAUUGGGCGUAAAGCGAGCGCAGACGGUUUAUUAAGUCUGAUGUGAAAUCCCGAGGCCCAACCUCGGAACUGCAUUGGAAACUGAUUUACUUGAGUGCGAUAGAGGCAAGUGGAACUCCAUGUGUAGCGGUGAAAUGCGUAGAUAUGUGGAAGAACACCAGUGGCGAAAGCGGCUUGCUAGAUCGUAACUGACGUUGAGGCUCGAAAGUAUGGGUAGCAAACGGGAUUAGAUACCCCGGUAGUCCAUACCGUAAACGAUGGGUGCUAGUUGUUAAGAGGUUUCCGCCUCCUAGUGACGUAGCAAACGCAUUAAGCACCCCGCCUGAGGAGUACGGCCGCAAGGCUAAAACUUAAAGGAAUUGACGGGGACCCGCACAAGCGGUGGAGCAUGUGGUUUAAUUCGAAGAUACGCGAAAAACCUUACCAGGUCUUGACAUACCAAUGAUCGCUUUUGUAAUGAAAGCUUUUCUUCGGAACAUUGGAUACAGGUGGUGCAUGGUCGUCGUCAGCUCGUGUCGUGAGAUGUUGGGUUA
Molecule: ribosomal RNA, 542 nt
Filed under: Oenococcus oeni
Lineage: Bacteria; Bacillati; Bacillota; Bacilli; Lactobacillales; Lactobacillaceae
Description: bacterial SSU rRNA
Rfam family: Bacterial small subunit ribosomal RNA
Source: RNAcentral